CCAAAUAUGUUUUACGUAAUUCAAAAAUAGUCUUUUAAAAUAGAAAACUAAAAAUAAAUUGAAAAUUGAAAACAGAAAACAAAGAUGCAAACCAAAAGCAUCCUUACUUCUCCGUGCCUUUUUUGAGGAGAAAAUGAUCCCUAGCUUACGCUUAGAAUUCAUCAAACGUUAAAAAUACUGCAGCUCUUCUGGUACACACUCCGACGCAGCUACGCAGUGAAAGAUGGAGUUUCUCCCCUAAUAAUUGAUUUUGAGUUCUCUUGGGGAUAAAGAAAUUUAAGCUGUAAGUCUUUCAAUUUUUUCUCCAAUUAUUCAAUUCACUUGUUUUUGUCUACAUUUUUGUAAUGUCGUCAAUUUUCCUGAAAAAACUGAACAUCUCAUUUCAUAAUCUUGAGUUAGAUUUGGGUGAUUUUUUAAUUUUUUUUUUAAAUUUUAACUGCAAAAACUUUUAAAAUAAAUAAAUAUUGUCCCCCUUCAAAUGUACCAUUUAAUAUUUCAUAUGAAUUUAAUUUGAGUGCCUAAAGAGGAUAAUGUUGGAUAAAUCUUAGUUUAAACUAGAGUAUUUUUAGGCUUUAUUUUUGUAUCUUAGACUGUUACGGGGGUAAAUUCGUUAAUUCCACCGUAUAUUUUUGGCUGCUCUAAAGUGUGAUCACUUCCAGGGGCGGAGCUACAUAGAGGCGAGUGUAGGCAUCCGCCUCACCUCAUCUGGGAUUUCUUACAACAAUUGAAGGCAGUGCCUGCAUUGGGAUUUCUGGAGGAUUGGAUUUGCUGGAAACUUGAAGGUUGGAUGCAGGCCCCAACUCGCCAUUGUUGUACUCUUCAAAAGCUUGAACGCAGGCAGAAUGGAAGGGGAGGGAAGGGAAGAUAAGUUUUUACUUGGGCCAAUUUUUAAUGUUUUCUAAAUUUCAACUUCUAAACCUUUUACGUUGGGCUUUUUAUUUAUUUUUAACUGAGGCCCAUAUCCACAUCCAUAGGCUUUUUGUAUUGUGAAAUGAUUAAGCAGACAAACCAAAUUCAGUUAUAGUCACUGUGAAAUAUGGAGAUUUAAUUCACUAGACAUUGUGAAAAUAUUUAUCAUUAUACUUUAAUAUUGUUUCUCAAUAUUUGCUCAAUUUAAAAGUUUACUGUUAUUGUAGCUUCAAUGUUAAUAUGUUUAUAAUUUUAAAAGUUUACUGUUAUUGUACCUUCAAUGUUAAUAUGUUUAUAAUUUUAAAAGUUUAAAUGUUUACCA
Molecule: long non-coding RNA, 1231 nt
Filed under: Olea europaea subsp. europaea
Lineage: Eukaryota; Viridiplantae; Streptophyta; Magnoliopsida; Lamiales; Oleaceae
Source: RNAcentral